AUUGAACGCUGGCGGCAUGCCUUACACAUGCAAGUCGAACGGCAGCACGGGAGCAAUCCUGGUGGCGAGUGGCGAACGGGUGAGUAAAGUAUCGGAACGUGCCCAGUCGUGGGGGAUAACGUAGCGAAAGUUACGCUAAUACCGCAUACGAUCUAUGGAUGAAAGCGGGGGAUCGCAAGACCUCGCGCGAUUGGAGCGGCCGAUAUCAGAUUAGGUAGUUGGUGGGGUAAAGGCUAACCAAGCCGACGAUCUGCAGCUGGUCUGAGAGGACGACCAGCCACACUGGGACUGAGACACGGCCCAGACUCCUACGGGAGGCAGCAGUGGGGAAUUUUGGACAAUGGGCGAAAGCCUGAUCCAGCCAUGCCGCGUGCAGGAUGAAGGCCUUCGGGUUGUAAACUGCUUUUGUACGGAACGAAAAGGUUUGGCCUAAUAAGCUGAGCUCAUGACGGUACCGUAAGAAUAAGCACCGGCUAACUACGUGCCAGCAGCCGCCGUAA
RNAcentral lists this ribosomal RNA (500 nucleotides) under uncultured bacterium. RNAcentral describes it as "partial 16S ribosomal RNA". It matches the Rfam family "Bacterial small subunit ribosomal RNA", at positions 30 to 523 of the family's 1533-position model. The record is from RNAcentral.